CAUUCUUGAAGCUUCCAAUGCCAUCUUCUCAUUCACCACCAUGAAAAUGGAGUUUUUCAAUUUCUUUUCCUUGUUUUCUUGUCAUUUCCUUUCUUUUCUUACUUCUUUCUUCUCCAAACUUCUUGGGCACUAAACUUGCAGCUUCUAAACCCAAUUUCCAGCACAUCUAAACCCUAGGAGAAGAAGAAAGAAAAAGAGAGAAAGGAAGAAAAAGCUUAAUUUUGUAAUUCAAGAAACAUAAGCUAUGGUGGCCAUGGGUGUGAGGAAAUUAUGAAUUUUGUUUAGUGAAAUCCAAGCUAAAACCAAGUGGAAAUACAAAGGUAAAGUUAGAGUACUGUGGUGGCGUGCCAGAGGAAAUAACAGCGACCGGCAAGUAAGAAUAGGUAGAUACGCCUCUGAACAAAUAGCGAUGUAAUAUCCCACUAUCGUAAGGU
Theobroma cacao (cacao) is the source of this 434-nucleotide non-coding RNA. Lineage: Eukaryota; Viridiplantae; Streptophyta; Magnoliopsida; Malvales; Malvaceae. The record is from RefSeq and is a predicted model, not a curated record.